CAUGUGUCACCUGAUUGGUGGAUCGAAUAGCUGGAUGGCUGGCUGCAGCUUUCCCCCUCUACACCUUGGAUCCCGUCUCCCACUGCAGUGUCCCAAUUUCAUGGCUGCUAGGGGGCAUCCAGUGGACCGGUAGCGGAGCGCAGAAGGCUGGGGGCGGAGCUACUGAGGACGUCUACACAAGGAGCAUAUCCUGAUUAACAGGAAGAGGAGAUAAAAGGCGGGAAAAAGAAGAAAGAAAAAGUUUGGAGUGUUUUGGGUUUGUUUGGAUCAAUGCCCAAAAGACUCCAAUUUUUACAAUAAAAACGGACAAUGAGAUGGCAGUCACGAGGAACAAGCGGGGUGGAGAGGACUUAAGUCCAUGCAUUGCAUUGCUAAGGACUUUUUUUUUUUCUUUAAUUUUUGCG
Molecule: long non-coding RNA, 404 nt
Organism: Trichomycterus rosablanca
Lineage: Eukaryota; Metazoa; Chordata; Actinopteri; Siluriformes; Trichomycteridae
Exons: 3
Source: RefSeq, a predicted model, not a curated record